UGGGGAAUAUUGCACAAUGGGGGGAACCCUGAUGCAGCGACGCCGCGUGAGCGAGGAAGUAUUUCGGUAUGUAAAGCUCUAUCAGCAGGGAAGAAGAAAGUGACGGUACCUGACUAAGAAGCCCCGGCUAACUACGUGCCAGCAGCCGCGGUAAUACGUAGGGGGCAAGCGUUAUCCGGAUUUACUGGGUGUAAAGGGAGCGCAGGCGGCCGCUCAAGUCUGAUGUGAAAACCCGGGGCUCAACCGCGGGAGUGCAUUGGAAACUGAGGGGCUGGAGUGUCGGAGAGGCAGGCGGAAUUCCUAGUGUAGCGGUGAAAUGCGUAGAUAUUAGGAGGAACACCAGUGGCGAAGGCGGCCUGCUGGACGAUGACUGACGCUGAGGCUCGAAAGCGUGGGGAGCAAACAGG
This 407-nucleotide ribosomal RNA is filed under the name uncultured bacterium. RNAcentral describes it as "bacterial SSU rRNA". It matches the Rfam family "Bacterial small subunit ribosomal RNA", at positions 355 to 776 of the family's 1533-position model. The record is from RNAcentral.